Molecule: non-coding RNA, 434 nt
Organism: Gossypium hirsutum (cotton)
Lineage: Eukaryota; Viridiplantae; Streptophyta; Magnoliopsida; Malvales; Malvaceae
Source: Rfam
GUAAGGGAAGUUGAAAAAAUGGAUCCAUAACCUCGGGAAAAGGAUGGCUCUGAGGCCUAUGCAUGGGGAUCCCACUCUUAAAUCUAUCAACUGCUAGUGCCUUACUCGAGCUACAGGUAGUCGUGUGUUUGCCAGGGGACAGAUUGGGAAUGGCUCCCUCGUGCGCCUUCCUCGGGUGACUAACAUUCAACUUAGAAUUGGUAUGGACGAGGGGAAUCUGACUGUUUAAUUAAAACAAAACAUUGCGAUGGUCCUUACAGAUUCUGCCCAGCCUUUGAAUGUCAAAGUGAAGAAUGUAAUGCCCCUUACGCGUACUUGAGAUCGGGACAAGGUUUGAGGCAUUACUAUACGAUUUCGUAAGUACUCAGGUAAAAUAGGGUCAAAAAAUUUAUUUCGAAAUUAAAACCCAUCAAUCAUAUUCCCAAUGUCUCUAU